RNAcentral lists this ribosomal RNA (408 nucleotides) under uncultured bacterium. Its description in RNAcentral is "partial 16S ribosomal RNA". It matches the Rfam family "Bacterial small subunit ribosomal RNA", at positions 28 to 526 of the family's 1533-position model. The record is from RNAcentral.
GACGAACGCUGGCGGCGUGCUUAACACAUGCAAGUCGAACGAAGUGGCGAACGGGUGAGUAACGCGUAAUCAACCUGCCCUUCAGAGGGGUACAACAGUUGGAAACGACUGCUAAUACCGCAUACUGAAGGAGGGGAUUGCGUCUGCUUAGCUGGUUGGAGGGGUAACGGCCCACCAAGGCGAUGAUCAGUAGCCGGGCUGAGAGGAUGAACGGACAAAUUGGGACUGGGACAAGGCCCAGACUCCUACGGGAGGGAGGAGGGGGGAAACAUCCGCAAUGGACGGAAGUCUGACGGAGCAACGCCGCGGGAGUGAUGACGGGCUUCGGGUUGUAAAGCUCUGUUAAGCGGGACGCGGUACCGGAAUAGAAAGCCACGGCUAACUACGUGCCAGCAGCCGCGGUAAUUC